This 224-nucleotide ribosomal RNA is filed under the name uncultured archaeon. RNAcentral describes it as "partial 16S ribosomal RNA". It matches the Rfam family "Archaeal small subunit ribosomal RNA", at positions 776 to 999 of the family's 1478-position model. The record is from RNAcentral. RNAcentral also lists the same sequence under 1 other name.
GCAUUGGCUUGUGGCCAAUGCAGUGCUGCAGGGAAGCCGUUAAGUUUGCCGCCUGGGAAGUACGUACGCAAGUAUGAAACUUAAAGGAAUUGGCGGGGGAGCACCACAAGGGGUGAAGCCUGCGGUUCAAUUGGAGUCAACGCCAGAAAUCUUACCCGGAGAGACAGCAGAAUGAAGGUCAAGCUGAAGACUUUACCAGACAAGCUGAGAGGUGGUGCAUGGCA